UACGUAGGUGGCAAGCGUUGUCCGGAAUUAUUGGGCGUAAAGCGCGCGUAGGCGGUCCGAUAAGUCUGCUGUGAAAGUCGGGGGCUCAACCCUCGGAUGCCGGUGGAUACUGUCGGGCUUGAGUGCGGAAGAGGCGAGUGGAAUUCCUGGUGUAGCGGUGAAAUGCGCAGAUAUCAGGAGGAACACCAAUUGCGAAGGCAGCUCGCUGGGACGUUACUGACGCUGAUGCGCGAAAGCGUGGGGAGCAAACAGG
RNAcentral lists this ribosomal RNA (253 nucleotides) under uncultured bacterium. Its description in RNAcentral is "partial 16S ribosomal RNA". It matches the Rfam family "Bacterial small subunit ribosomal RNA", at positions 524 to 776 of the family's 1533-position model. The record is from RNAcentral.